RNAcentral lists this RNase P RNA (351 nucleotides) under candidate division Zixibacteria bacterium RBG_16_53_22. Its description in RNAcentral is "RNase P RNA component class A". It matches the Rfam family "Bacterial RNase P class A". From Rfam's summary of the family: Ribonuclease P (RNase P) is a ubiquitous endoribonuclease, found in archaea, bacteria and eukarya as well as chloroplasts and mitochondria. Its best characterised activity is the generation of mature 5'-ends of tRNAs by cleaving the 5'-leader elements of precursor-tRNAs. Lineage: Bacteria; Pseudomonadati; Candidatus Zixiibacteriota. The record is from RNAcentral.
CAGGCAGGUUGGACGGUCGCCCCGAAAUCAAAUUAGGGGAGGAAAGUCCGAGCUUUCAAGGGCCGGGAUGCCUCGUAACGCGAGGGGUCCACAUGGACACGGAAAGCGCCACAGAAAACAUACCGCCCAAUUGGGUAAGGGUGAAAUGGCGGUGUAAGAGACCACCGGGGCCGCCGCAAGGCGACUCGCAUGGCAAGCCCCAUCCGAAAGCAAGGCCAAGUAAGGGGAGAGAGGUGGCCCGCCUCAUUCGAUCCCCGGGUAGGCCGCAAGAUCACGAUGGUGACAUCGUGACCAGAUAGAUGACCGUCACCCGCAAGGGGACAGAACUCGGCUUACAGACCUGCCCAAAUU